UACGAAGGGGGCUAGCGUUGCUCGGAAUCACUGGGCGUAAAGGGUGCGUAGGCGGGUCUUAAGUCAGGGGUGAAAUCCUGGAGCUCAACUCCAGAACUGCCUUUGAUACUGAGGAUCUUGAGUUCGGGAGAGGUGAGUGGAACUGCGAGUGUAGAGGUGAAAUUCGUAGAUAUUCGCAAGAACACCAGUGGCGAAGGCGGCUCACUGGCCCGAUACUGACGCUGAGGCGCGAAAGCGUGGGGAGCAAACAGG
RNAcentral lists this ribosomal RNA (252 nucleotides) under uncultured bacterium. RNAcentral's name for it is "partial 16S ribosomal RNA". It matches the Rfam family "Bacterial small subunit ribosomal RNA", at positions 524 to 776 of the family's 1533-position model. The record is from RNAcentral.